This 346-nucleotide ribosomal RNA is filed under the name uncultured bacterium. RNAcentral's name for it is "bacterial SSU rRNA". It matches the Rfam family "Bacterial small subunit ribosomal RNA", at positions 556 to 901 of the family's 1533-position model. The record is from RNAcentral.
GGGCGUAAAGGGUGCGUAGGUGGCUUGCCAAGUGCUUUGUGAAAUCCCACGGCUCAACCGUGGAACAGCAGGGCAUACUGGCAGGCUUGAGGCAAGUAGGGGCUGACGGAACAGUAGGUGGAGCGGUGAAAUGCGUAGAUAUCUACUGGAACGCCGAUGGUGAAGACGGUCAGCUGGGCUUGUCCUGACACUGAGGCACGAAAGCGUGGGGAGCAAACAGGAUUAGAUACCCUGGUAGUCCACGCCGUAAACGAUGCGCACUAGACCGGUGCGGUUUUGACGCCGUAUCGGUCGUAGUAAAACGAUAAGUGCGCCGCCUGGGGAGUACGGUCGCAAGAUUAAAACU